RNAcentral lists this non-coding RNA (24 nucleotides) under Arabidopsis thaliana (thale cress). The record is from RNAcentral. Lineage: Eukaryota; Viridiplantae; Streptophyta; Magnoliopsida; Brassicales; Brassicaceae.
UGAUUGUUGUUAUUUGGCCAAUAA